RNAcentral lists this transfer RNA (108 nucleotides) under Ganoderma leucocontextum. RNAcentral describes it as "tRNA-Lys". It matches the Rfam family "tRNA". Rfam says of the family: Transfer RNA (tRNA) molecules are approximately 80 nucleotides in length. Their secondary structure includes four short double-helical elements and three loops (D, anti-codon, and T loops). The record is from RNAcentral. Lineage: Eukaryota; Fungi; Basidiomycota; Agaricomycetes; Polyporales; Polyporaceae.
GCCCGCCUAGCUCAAUCGGAUAGAGCGUCAGACUCUUACGAGCAGGGGUGAUUGAUGACGUAAUCCCACGUGAUCUGAAGGCUGCGAGUUCGACCCUCGCGGUGGGCU